RNAcentral lists this ribosomal RNA (254 nucleotides) under uncultured bacterium. RNAcentral describes it as "partial 16S ribosomal RNA". It matches the Rfam family "Bacterial small subunit ribosomal RNA", at positions 524 to 776 of the family's 1533-position model. The record is from RNAcentral.
UACGUAGGGGGCGAGCGUUGUCCGGAAUCAUUGGGCGUAAAGCGCGUGUAGGCGGCUUGGUAAGUCGGGUGUGAAAUCCCUCAGCUCAACUGAGGAAGUGCGCCCGAAACUGCUUUGCUUGAGUGCUGGAGAGGGUCGCGGAAUUCCCGAAGUAGAGGUGAAAUUCGUAGAUAUCGGGAGGAACACCGGUGGCGAAGGCGGCGACCUGGACAGUAACUGACGCUGAGACGCGAAAAGCGUGGGUAGCAAACAGG